This 253-nucleotide ribosomal RNA is filed under the name uncultured bacterium. Its description in RNAcentral is "partial 16S ribosomal RNA". It matches the Rfam family "Bacterial small subunit ribosomal RNA", at positions 524 to 776 of the family's 1533-position model. The record is from RNAcentral.
UACGUAGGGUGCGAGCGUUGUCCGGAAUUAUUGGGCGUAAAGAGCUUGUAGGCGGUUUGUCGCGUCUGCUGUGAAAUCUCAAGGCUCAACCUUGAGCUUGCAGUGGGUACGGGCAGACUAGAGUGUGGUAGGGGAGACUGGAAUUCCUGGUGUAGCGGUGAAAUGCGCAGAUAUCAGGAGGAACACCGGUGGCGAAGGCGGGUCUCUGGGCCGAUACUGACGCUAAGGAGCGAAAGCGUGGGGAGCGAACAGG